Molecule: long non-coding RNA, 345 nt
Filed under: Vicia faba (fava bean)
Lineage: Eukaryota; Viridiplantae; Streptophyta; Magnoliopsida; Fabales; Fabaceae
Source: RNAcentral
AUGGCCAAAAAAAUGUCCAGCCCAAGCACAUCCGGAAAACGGUCGCCGCCGUGUCACUCGCGUCUCUGCUUCGUCUUUCUCCUCAACUUCAAUUUCGGAUCCCCUUUUCAGCUUCUCCUUCAUCAAACCAUUCUGAAUCUGUCAACAACACCGCUUCUACGAACAUCACAUAUCGUAUUAACUCCAACUCGAUAUCGUUAUCCUCACGUUUCAAGUCGUUUCCUCUCAGAGUUAGAGACCUCGAACGAGACCCAAAAUCGACACUCCGACGGUGCCUCAGACACAACAAAGAUGCUUAGAACUCCAGAGGUUCUUUAUUCAGGUAUUCAAAUCAAACUAGUUUAG